RNAcentral lists this ribosomal RNA (449 nucleotides) under uncultured bacterium. RNAcentral describes it as "partial 16S ribosomal RNA". It matches the Rfam family "Bacterial small subunit ribosomal RNA", at positions 29 to 523 of the family's 1533-position model. The record is from RNAcentral.
AACGAACGCUGGCGGCAUGCCUAACACAUGCAAGUCGAACGAGAUCUUCGGGUCUAGUGGCGCACGGGUGCGUAACGCGUGGGAAUCUGCCCUUUGGUUCGGAAUAACAGUUGGAAACGACUGCUAAUACCGGAUGAUGACGAAAGUCCAAAGAUUUAUCGCCAGAGGAUGAGCCCGCGUAGGAUUAGCUAGGUGGUGUGGUAAAGGCGCACCAAGGCGACGAUCCUUAGCUGGUCUGAGAGGAUGAUCAGCCACACUGGGACUGAGACACGGCCCAGACUCCUACGAGAGGCAGCAGUGGGGAAUAUUGGACAAUGGGCGAAAGCCUGACCCAGCAAUGCCGCGUGAGUGAUGAAGGCCUUAGGGUUGUAAAGCUCUUUUACCCGGGAUGAUAAUGACAGUACCGGGAGAAUAAGCUCCGGCUAACUCCGUGCCAGCCGCCGCCGUAA